RNAcentral lists this ribosomal RNA (507 nucleotides) under uncultured organism. RNAcentral describes it as "SSU rRNA". It matches the Rfam family "Bacterial small subunit ribosomal RNA", at positions 8 to 509 of the family's 1533-position model. The record is from RNAcentral.
AGAGUUUGAUCCUGGCUCAGGAUGAACGCUAGCGGCAGGCUUAACACAUGCAAGUCGAGGGGCAGCGGGGAGUAGCAAUACUCUGCCGGCGACCGGCGAAAGGGUGCGUAACGCGUGAGCAACUUGCCCGUAUCCGGGACAUAAGCGGUGGAAACGCCGUCUAAUUUCCCAUAACAACGAGGGCCGCCUGGCCCAUGUUUGAAAGAUCCGUCGGAUACGGAUGGGCUCGCGAGACAUUAGCUUGUUGGUGAGGUAACGGCUCACCAAGGCGACGAUGUCUAGGGGUUCUGAGAGGAAGGUCCCCCACACUGGAACUGAGACACGGUCCAAACUCCUACGGGAGGCAGCAGUGAGGAAUAUUGGUCAAUGGGCGCGAGCCUGAACCAGCCAAGUAGCGUGGGGGAUGACUGCCCUAUGGGUUGUAAACCCCUUUUGCGCGGGGAUAAACCGGCGGACGCGUCCGCCGCUGCAGGUACCGCGCGAAUAAGGACCGGCUAAUUCCGUGCC